GGGGGGAUGUCCGAGUGGCUAAAGGAACGCGGCUGUAAACCGCGUGGCACUGCCUACGCAGGUUCGAAUCCUGCUCCCCCCA
This 82-nucleotide transfer RNA is filed under the name Thermoleophilaceae bacterium. Its description in RNAcentral is "tRNA-Tyr". It matches the Rfam family "tRNA". From Rfam's summary of the family: Transfer RNA (tRNA) molecules are approximately 80 nucleotides in length. Their secondary structure includes four short double-helical elements and three loops (D, anti-codon, and T loops). RNAcentral also lists the same sequence under 1 other name. Lineage: Bacteria; Bacillati; Actinomycetota; Thermoleophilia; Thermoleophilales; Thermoleophilaceae. The record is from RNAcentral.